This 449-nucleotide ribosomal RNA is filed under the name uncultured bacterium. RNAcentral describes it as "SSU rRNA". It matches the Rfam family "Bacterial small subunit ribosomal RNA", at positions 26 to 518 of the family's 1533-position model. The record is from RNAcentral.
AGAGCGAACGCUGGCGGCAGGCCUAACACAUGCAAGUCGAGCGGCCGUAGCAAUACGGCAGCGGCAGACGGGAGAGUAACACGUGGGAACGCGCCCUUCGGUUCGGAAUAACUCAGGGAAACUUGGGCUAAUACCGGAUACGCCCUUACGGGGAAAGAUUUAUUGCCGAAGGAACGGCCCGCGUCCGAUUAGCUUGUUGGUGAGGUAACGGCUCACCAAGGCGACGAUCGGUAGCUGGUCUGAGAGGAUGACCAGCCUCACUGGGACUGAGACACGGCCCAGACUCCUACGGGAGGCAGCAGUGGGGAAUAUUGGACAAUGGGCGCAAGCCUGAUCCAGCCAUGCCGCGUGGGUGAUGAAGGCCCUAGGGGUUGUAAAGCCCGUUUCGGCGGGGAAGAUAAUGACGGUACCCGCAGAAGAAGCCCGGCUAACUUCGUGCCAGCAGCCGC